CUGUCGUGGUUCGUUUCGCUCCCCUGCGCUUUCCCCCCAAUUUUUCCUCUCCACAAUCUUCUGAGUCUCUCAUUCUCACACAAAGGCGCGCUGUGCGCAACCCUAAUCGCUUGUGAAAACCUAGCAAUUGAACUCCGUCACUGCUUUCAUUGCCACUAUCCUUAUAACGAGCUUUUUGUCGUUCUGAUUUUCUAUUCUCGAUCUCCCUACUCGGACGCAGUUAUUUCUCUCCGCGCUGGUUCCGUACUUCUCUGGUUCAAGCCGGAUCUCCGAGUAGACGAUCAUUCGGACCUCGUAGUCGCCACCUAGGCAGGAUGUCUGAGUCGAAGAUCAUCCGGCCCUUGUAGCCUCCUCCGAGUAUCUGGCAGUGGUUCCCUUUACGUCUUUGAGCAGCGGACUCUUUUUCGUGCGCAAAGAGAAAUCCUAAAGGACUUCCUUCAUGAAAAAGAGCACUGCUAUGAUCAUAAUCCCUUAACUUGAUGUUGUGCUUCCUGAAAACAAAGCAAGUGUGUAAAAGAAGGCUCUGACGUUUUGGUGUAAUAUCCUUUGUCAUGGUUCUUUAUUGAAGGGGUAAAGCUUAUAGAGAACGUUUGGAGGUGAGUUCAUCUGGGGACAUCCAGUGGUCAGUGAACUGAAUUUUUAUAAUAUUUUAAAACAAGUGCGAUUAUUAAUCAUCUUGUGCUGUCUCAAGAACUUUCUAAUAUUUGCUUGGAUCCUGUAUUGUAUUUUAGCAAGGCACGUGAAGUUUUCCAGAUGAUGGACCUUUUGCAGAUGUCUGAAGGUAAAUCUUUCCAAAUUUCUCGAUAUAUUAUACAGUUGAGGGUUUCUUUUUAGUUUUUGCCCAAUGUGCUUAACUCAUCAUUAGUGAAAUCAGGUAAGUAAAUCAAACUGGUUUACUGCUUGGAUAGAAGUAUAGAACAUGAUUUUAAGAAUUUUGAACUCACGAAGCCCAAUAUGUUGACUGUAAGGUUGUUAGAAAGGGAUAUCAAAGUUGAAAGCGUGGGAAGAAUAUUAAUGGUUGUUUUUUUUUGUGAUAAAAGUAAGAAAUUCAAUUAUAUUUAAUUAAAAGGCAAAUUCUUGAUUGUUCUGCGAACUCUAUAACAUGUAAUGUCAGCGUAUGACUAACUAUUGCUUGUGCGUUUGUGACCAACUGCCAAGUUUUAAAGUAGCGCAUUUGAGAAAACGUUGUAGUGACCUUGCAUAUUAUUGUGGAAGCAUUUUUCAUUAACUGAAAAGCUGCAUAUAACUAUUUUCAUGCAAUCAUGUGUUGUUUAUUAUUUGUUUGGUGGCGGUGAAAACUUGCCCUGUUAGCAUAUGAUUCUUUUGUUAUUUUUAGUCUGGGUUUUUGGGGUUCCGGUAAGGUGUGAAUUAAAGGGAGUACUGUAUUCUUAUGCUGUUUUUAAUUAUGUGGUACUUCUAUGUUGCGAUCUGCCUGUUAUAAGAAUGCUGGCUUGCCUUCUCUGUAA
Molecule: long non-coding RNA, 1466 nt
Organism: Tripterygium wilfordii
Lineage: Eukaryota; Viridiplantae; Streptophyta; Magnoliopsida; Celastrales; Celastraceae
Exons: 4
Source: RefSeq, a predicted model, not a curated record